This 301-nucleotide ribosomal RNA is filed under the name uncultured bacterium. RNAcentral describes it as "partial 16S ribosomal RNA". It matches the Rfam family "Bacterial small subunit ribosomal RNA", at positions 509 to 807 of the family's 1533-position model. The record is from RNAcentral.
CAGCCGCCGCGGGAAUACGUAGGGUGCGAGCGUUAAUCGGAAUUACUGGGCGUAAAGCGUGCGCAGGCGGUUCGUUAAGACAGAUGUGAAAUCCCCGGGCUUAACCUGGGAACUGCAUUUGUGACUGGCGAGCUAGAGUAUGGCAGAGGGGGGUAGAAUUCCACGUGUAGCAGUGAAAUGCGUAGAGAUGUGGAGGAAUACCGAUGGCGAAGGCAGCCCCCUGGGACAACACUGACGCUGAAGCACGAAAGCUAGGGGAGCAAACAGGAUUAGAUACCCGCGUAGUCCCUGUCUCUUAUAC